AGCGAACGUUUGCGGCGGGCCUAACACAUGCAAGUCGAACGAGAUCUCGGGCUUCGGUCCGGGUGAAAGUGGCGCACGGGUGCGUAACACGUGGGUAAUCAACCCUCUGGAUCGGGACAACCCGGGGAAACUCGGGCUAAUACCGGAUACGUCGUCGGAGCUCUAGGGCUCUGACGGGAAAGGCCUGCAAGGGCUACCAGAGGACGAGCUCGCGGCCCAUCAGCUAGUUGGUGAGGUAAUGGCUCACCAAGGCGAAGACGGGUAGCUGGUCUGAGAGGAUGAUCAGCCACACUGGAACUGAGACACGGUCCAGACUCCUACGGGAGGCAGCAGUGGGGAAUAUUGCGCAAUGGGCGAAAGCCUGACGCAGCCACGCCGCGUGUGCGAUGAAGGUCUUCGGAUCGUAAAGCACUGUGGGGGGAGAAGAACAAAGCUGGUGAAGAGCCAGCCCUGACGGUAUCCCCUUAGCAAGCACCGGCUAACUCCGUGCCAG
This 493-nucleotide ribosomal RNA is filed under the name uncultured bacterium. Its description in RNAcentral is "bacterial SSU rRNA". It matches the Rfam family "Bacterial small subunit ribosomal RNA", at positions 29 to 511 of the family's 1533-position model. The record is from RNAcentral.